GGAGGAAGGAAGGAGAGAAAAGAAAGCAAGAGAUGCUAUAGGAAAACUGAAGCCCCCAGGCGUCGCUUACAGAACAAGGUCACAUGGAUUCCACUCUGGAUGGAUGAAGACUGGGACUGGUAUUCCAGAGAAGGCAGAAGCCCUGACUUAUGGGACUUGCGCAGUAACUGCCAGGAAUCCUCCUAAGGCAGGUGCCACUGCCUCUAGGUGUGACGUGCCAGCCUCCUGGUCCUGGCCGGGGACUCUCGGACCUUGGCCCCACGAAGCUCUGCAGCUUCCUUGCCCUCCGCCUCGCCCUCUACCUGGUGGGCCUGGCCAGCUUGGAAAAGACCUCAGAAUUGGGGUUCUCCCAGGAUAUCCAGCACAGCCAGUGUCACGUGCAUUGAGGAUUCACCUGUCUUUAUUUAACUGAGGGAUGCUGUCCUUGUCAGGAAAACUGUACAUGUCACAAUGGUGAAUGUGGCAUCCCACAAAGGAAUACACUGGGCUCCUGAGUGUCCAAGGCUGAUGGUUGAAGAUGGUGUGCAUCCACGCACCCUCAAAAAGCCAGUUCGUGUGAUCACCAGGUCCAGAUGUGAAAGGAAUUAAAAUAAGUGAUUCAGUGAAAGAGCUGAACCCAAGCAAGAGGCCCUCCAGAUGUCUCAAAGUAUCCCUGCCCUGCGCCAGCUCCCUGCAGCAAGCGGCCCCUGCAAAGGCUGUGUUGGCCAAUAGUUCUACAACUCAACAUCCAAUGAGUGUGAACCCUUUAUCCAUGGUGGUUUUGGGGGCACAAUACCAACAAUUUUGAGACCCACAGAGUUGGCCCGAGGGUCUGCAAAACCCUGGUUAAGUCCUCUCAGACACAGGAACAGGAAUGGUGGUUGUAAGAUGACGGGCGUGUGACAGGAGGGUGUUGGUGAGGAUGGUGGUGGCGAGGCAGCUGAUGGUGCUAAUUUGGUAGCUGGUGAUGACAGUGAUCAUGGGAAUGAGGACAUGCUACCAAGGCGUGGUGGCGAUGGUGGUAAUGAGGGUGCCCGAGGUGUAGGUGGCAAGGCUGUAGUUGGAGGUGGUGGAGACUGUGAAGAUGAAAUACAGGUUACUGUAGUAAGGCCAAGAAGAGAGCUGUCAUCUCCAUUACGGAGGCUGAGGUAAACACAGCUGAAGAGCAGGCCUGGCCAGCUCUGGCCCUUGACUGAAACCCGCCCUACCGCCAUGCCUGCGCCAAGGCACUGCUCCGAACCCGCUGUGUAACCUUCUGGGAUGGGUCAAUAAAGUACUCAAAGCUGCUGCGGUCUGUCUUCCCACAAGGGUCAGGGACCUUUCCUGGAAA
Molecule: long non-coding RNA, 1309 nt
Organism: Choloepus didactylus (southern two-toed sloth)
Lineage: Eukaryota; Metazoa; Chordata; Mammalia; Pilosa; Megalonychidae
Exons: 5
Source: RefSeq, a predicted model, not a curated record